AACCUUGAAGUAUAAAUACUAAUGUUUGUGUUGCAAGGAGAAAGAUAUUUAUUUUGCAAGGAACAUAGCAAGUUGGAAGAAUACAAGAAGGCCUCCAAAGUUCUCAAGAAAAGUUGGAAGAAAGCUACAAUUCAUUGGCCCAAGUUUCAAGUUCAAAGAAUUCAAGUUGAAGGAGCAAAUUCAAAGAAAAAUUCAGAAGAAUAGUCCUCGAGUCGACUCCUGGAAGUUUCGAGUCGACUCUGGCACUCUAGAGUUUCAAGGAAUAGUGCUCGAGUCGACUCCGGGACUCUACGAGUCGACUCCGACUGAGAACAAACAAAAAGACAGAGAGUUGAUUUUCUGCGCUACAGUGAUCUCGAGUCGACUCCCAACUUCAGGAGUCGACUCCCAAAUUCAGGAGUCGACUCCCAGCUUCAGGAGUCGACUCCCAGCUACAGUGCCGGCAGACUACUAUUCACAGAUC
RNAcentral lists this long non-coding RNA (463 nucleotides) under Phoenix dactylifera (date palm). RNAcentral describes it as "long non-coding RNA (PDAC_LNC021116)". Lineage: Eukaryota; Viridiplantae; Streptophyta; Magnoliopsida; Arecales; Arecaceae. The record is from RNAcentral.